Molecule: ribosomal RNA, 902 nt
Filed under: uncultured phototrophic eukaryote
Lineage: Eukaryota
Description: bacterial SSU rRNA
Rfam family: Bacterial small subunit ribosomal RNA
Source: RNAcentral
GAGAGUUUUGAACUCAAGUGGCGGACGGGUGAGUAACACGUAAGAAUUUGCCUUUAGGAGGGGGACAACAACUAGAAAUGGUUGCUAAUACCCCAUAUGCUUUCGAGUAAAAUGGAUUUUUCCGCCUAGAGAGAAGCUUGCGGCUGAUUAGCUUGUUGGUGAGGUAAUGGCUCACCAAGGCGACGAUCAGUAUCUGGUUUGAGAGGACGAUCAGACACACUGGAACUGAGACACGGUCCAGACUCCUACGGGAGGCAGCAGUGGGGAAUUUUCCGCAAUGGGCGAAAGCCUGACGGAGCAAUACCGCGUGAGGGAUGACGGCCUAUGGGUUGUAAACCUCUUUUUUCAGGGAGGAAUCAAUGACGUGUACCUGAAGAAUAAGCAUCGCCUAACUCCGUGCCAGCAGCCGCGGUAAGACGGAGGAUGCAAGUGUUAUCCGGAAUCACUGGGCGUAAAGCGUCUGUAGGUGGUCCAAUAAGUCAACUGUUAAAUCUUGAGGCUCAACCUCAAAACCGCAGUCGAAACUAUUAGACUAGAGUAUAGUAGGGGUAAAGGGAAUUUCCAGUGGAGCGGUGAAAUGCGUAGAGAUUGGAAAGAACACCGAUGGCGAAGGCACUUUACUGGGCUAUUACUAACACUCAGAGACGAAAGCUAGGGUAGCAAAUGGGAUUAGAUACCCCAGUAGUCCUAGCCGUAAACAAUGGAUACUAGAUGUUGAACAGAUCGACCUGUGCAGUAUCAAAGCUAACGCGUUAAGUAUCCCGCCUGGGAAGUAUGCUCGCAAGAGUGAAACUCAAAGGAAUUGACGGGGGCCCGCACAAGCGGUGGAGCAUGUGGUUUAAUUCGAUGCAACGCGAAGAACCUUACCAGGGUUUGACAUGAUACGAAUUUCUUUGAAAGAA